Molecule: ribosomal RNA, 484 nt
Filed under: uncultured bacterium
Lineage: Bacteria
Description: bacterial SSU rRNA
Rfam family: Bacterial small subunit ribosomal RNA
Source: RNAcentral
UGAACGCUAGCGGCAGGCUUAACACAUGCAAGUCGAGGGGGUAUAGGGAGCUUGCUUCCUAGAGACCGGCGCACGGGUGCGUAACGCGUAUGCAAUCUACCUUUUGCAGAGGGAUAGCCCAGAGAAAAUUUGGAUUAAUACCUCAUAGUAUGUGAGAAUGGCAUCAUUUUCACAUUAAAGUCACAACGGCAAAAGAUGAGCAUGCGUCCCAUUAGCUUGUUGGUAAGGUAACGGCUUACCAAGGCAACGAUGGGUAGGGGUCCUGAGAGGGAGAUCCCCCACACUGGUACUGAGACACGGACCAGACUCCUACGGGAGGCAGCAGUGAGGAAUAUUGGACAAUGGGCGCAAGCCUGAUCCAGCAAUGCCGCGUGCAGGAUGAAGGCCUUCGGGUUGUAAACUGCUUUGUACGGAACGAAACGGUGAGCUCUAAUACAGUUUGCUAAUGACGGUACCGUAAGAAUAAGCACCGGCUAACUACGUG